AAACCUCCAGUACUCGACUCCUGUGUGUGCCUCACUCAAAGAUACAAGACACAACGCAGAAAGACAUCGGUUACAAAUGGUGCCGUGACCCGGAUGCUUCAGAUCAGCCGCUGCAGAUCGCCGAGGUUAUGCUAAACUCUGAGUGGAGAGUGAUAUCCCGGAUUGUGUGUGACGCCCGUGUUGUUUUGUCUCCUUUGGAAAGAAUAAACCUCCAGUACUCGA
This is a long non-coding RNA of Gadus macrocephalus (Pacific cod), 222 nucleotides long. RefSeq lists it as uncharacterized. NCBI's taxonomy places the organism in Eukaryota, Metazoa, Chordata, Actinopteri, Gadiformes, Gadidae. The record is from RefSeq and is a predicted model, not a curated record. The transcript is spliced from 2 exons.